This 253-nucleotide ribosomal RNA is filed under the name uncultured bacterium. RNAcentral's name for it is "partial 16S ribosomal RNA". It matches the Rfam family "Bacterial small subunit ribosomal RNA", at positions 524 to 776 of the family's 1533-position model. The record is from RNAcentral.
UACGUAGGGGGCAAGCGUUGUCCGGAAUUAUUGGGCGUAAAGCGCGUGUAGGCGGUCCGGUAAGUCGGUUGUGAAAGUCCAGGGCUCAACCCUGGGAUGCCGACCGAUACUGUCGGACUAGAGUUCGGAAGAGGCGAGUGGAAUUCCCGGUGUAGCGGUGAAAUGCGCAGAUAUCGGGAGGAACACCAAUGGCGAAGGCAGCUCGCUGGGAAGUUACUGACGCUGAGACGCGAAAGCGUGGGGAGCAAACAGG